Molecule: long non-coding RNA, 329 nt
Organism: Chroicocephalus ridibundus (black-headed gull)
Lineage: Eukaryota; Metazoa; Chordata; Aves; Charadriiformes; Laridae
Exons: 3
Source: RefSeq, a predicted model, not a curated record
AUAGGAUACUCGCUCACCACUGCAUUUCCCCAUUGUGUCAGCGUGAAGCUUUUGACCCUGGAGGUGGAGCCAGACUUUCAAAUUCUUCACUGAAAUCCCAGCAGCUGCAGGACCCUCAUGCACUGGGUUACGAGGCCCCCAGAGAUGGAGUGAUGUGACUAAGGUGGUCUCCACACUUGCUGUAGCAUCUGGAGGGUAACCAGCAACUACUGGGGGGACCCCACGAGUGCUGAGCUGCGCUGGGUGAAGGAUUCAUAACACCAGUGACCGUAAGCUGUCAACGGUUAACGAAACUUCUGGGACACCAUGAAAUCCAGGAUGAAGACAGC